UUUUUGUUUCGACGCCAUUUUUUUCAGUGUUCAGUCGAUUGGAAAGUGUGUUGUUCAGAAAUUUACUGGAUUACUUGGAUUAUUUACACACAAUUAUAGCUAUCGGUUUAAAUAGGUAUGGGAGGCCUAUCACGCUUCGAUUUGAUGAUGGAACGGAGGCCAGUUUCGAGGUAGACCUGCCGACAUGGAAAGCAGUAGUUGAUGAUAAAGAUCAGUCAAUGAUUGAGCAAGUGGUAAAGAAUUACAAGGAAGCAAGAUGUGGCGAGGAAGGAGGUACAAUUCCUCACCGUUAUUCAUAUUGUCUGAUAGUGUUUAUGAUUAAUAUGAAAGUGC
This is a long non-coding RNA of Mya arenaria, 333 nucleotides long. RefSeq lists it as uncharacterized. The transcript has 3 exons. The record is from RefSeq and is a predicted model, not a curated record. NCBI's taxonomy places the organism in Eukaryota, Metazoa, Mollusca, Bivalvia, Myida, Myidae.